GAUGAACGCUGACAGAAUGCUUAACACAUGCAAGUCAACUUGAAUUUGGGUUUUUAACUUCGGUUUGGGUGGCGGACGGGUGAGUAACGCGUAAAGAACUUGCCUCACAGCUAGGGACAACAUUUGUAAACGAAUGCUAAUACCUAAUAUUAUGAUAAUAGGGCAUCCUAUAAUUAUGAAAGCUAUAAGCGCUGUGAGAGAGCUUUGCGUCCCAUUAGCUAGUUGGAGAGGUAACGGCUCACCAAGGCGAUGAUGGGUAGCCGGCCUGAGAGGGUGAUCGGCCACAAGGGGACUGAGACACGGCCCUUACUCCUACGGGAGGCAGCAGUGGGGAAUAUUGGACAAUGGACCGAGAGUCUGAUCCAGCAAUUCUGUGUGCACGAUGAAGUUUUUCGGAAUGUAAAGUGCUUUCAGUUGGGAAGAAACAAAUGACGGUACCAACAGAAGAAGUGACGGCUAAAUACGUG
RNAcentral lists this ribosomal RNA (467 nucleotides) under uncultured bacterium. Its description in RNAcentral is "partial 16S ribosomal RNA". It matches the Rfam family "Bacterial small subunit ribosomal RNA", at positions 28 to 507 of the family's 1533-position model. The record is from RNAcentral.